This 73-nucleotide transfer RNA is filed under the name Protostelium mycophagum. RNAcentral describes it as "tRNA-Met". It matches the Rfam family "tRNA". Rfam says of the family: Transfer RNA (tRNA) molecules are approximately 80 nucleotides in length. Their secondary structure includes four short double-helical elements and three loops (D, anti-codon, and T loops). Lineage: Eukaryota; Evosea; Variosea; Protosteliida; Protosteliaceae. The record is from RNAcentral.
GCGGGGGUUGAGUAAACGGUUAACUCACCAGACUCAUUAUCUGUGGAUGUAGGUUCGAAUCCUGCCCUCCGCG